Molecule: ribosomal RNA, 429 nt
Filed under: Bacteroidota bacterium
Lineage: Bacteria; Pseudomonadati; Bacteroidota
Description: Bacteroidetes bacterium partial 16S ribosomal RNA
Rfam family: Bacterial small subunit ribosomal RNA
Source: RNAcentral
UAGGGAAUCUUCCGCAAUGGACGCAAGUCUGACGGAGCAACGCCGCGUGAGUGAAGAAGGAUUUCGGUUCGUAAAACUCUGUUGUUAGAGAAGAACAGCGCAUAGAGUAACUGUUAUGCGUGUGACGGUAUCUAACCACAAAGCCACGGCUAACUACGUGCCAGCAGCCGCGGUAAUACGUAGGUGGCAAGCGUUGUCCGGAUUUAUUGGGCGUAAAGCGAGCGCAGGCGGUCAAUUAAGUCUGAUGUGAAAGCCCCCGGCUCAACCGGGGAGGGUCAUUAGAAACUGGUUGACUUGAGUGCGGAAGAGGAGAGUGGAAUUCCAUGUGUAGCGGUGAAAUGCGUAGAUAUAUGGAGAAACACCAGUGACGAAGGCGACUCUCUGGUCUGUAACUGACGCUGAGGCUCGAAAGCGUGGGUAGCAAACAGG